UACGUAGGGUGCAAGCGUUGUCCGGAAUUAUUGGGCGUAAAGAGCUCGUAGGCGGUCUGUCGCGUCUGCUGUGAAACUCAGGGCUUAACCCUGAGCUUGCAGUGGGUACGGGCAGACUAGAGUGCGGUAGGGGAGACUGGAAUUCCUGGUGUAGCGGUGAAAUGCGCAGAUAUCAGGAGGAACACCGGUGGCGAAGGCGGGUCUCUGGGCCGAUACUGACGCUGAGGAGCGAAAGCGUGGGGAGCGAACAGG
This 252-nucleotide ribosomal RNA is filed under the name uncultured bacterium. Its description in RNAcentral is "partial 16S ribosomal RNA". It matches the Rfam family "Bacterial small subunit ribosomal RNA", at positions 524 to 776 of the family's 1533-position model. The record is from RNAcentral.